This 959-nucleotide ribosomal RNA is filed under the name uncultured bacterium. RNAcentral describes it as "bacterial SSU rRNA". It matches the Rfam family "Bacterial small subunit ribosomal RNA", at positions 52 to 1004 of the family's 1533-position model. The record is from RNAcentral.
CGCAUGCAAGUCGAGGGGAAACGAUGGGAGGGCUUGCCCUCCCAGGCGUCGACCGGCGCACGGGUGAGUAACACGUAUCCAACCUGCCCUCUUCCGGGGAACAACCUUGCGAAAGUAAGACUAAUGCCCCAUGUGUCCUCAGACGGCAUCAGACGAGGACGAAAGAUUUAUCGGAAGUGGAUGGGGAUGCGCCUGAUUAGGCAGUUGGCGGGGCAACGGCCCACCAAGCCGACGAUCAGUAGGGGUUCUGAGAGGAAGGUCCCCCACAUUGGAACUGAGACACGGUCCAAACUCCUACGGGAGGCAGCAGUGAGGAAUAUUGGUCAAUGGGCGAGAGCCUGAACCAGCCAAGUAGCGUGCAGGAUGACGGCCCUAUGGGUUGUAAACUGCUUUUGCGCGGGGAUAAAGUGCGCCACGUGUGGCGCAUUGCAGGUACCGCGCGAAUAAGGACCGGCUAAUUCCGUGCCAGCAGCCGCGGUAAUACGGAAGGUCCGGGCGUUAUCCGGAUUCAUUGGGUUUAAAGGGAGCGCAGGCCGCCCCUUAAGCGUGUUGUGAAAUGCCGCGGCUCAACCGUGGCACUGCAGCGCGAACUGGGGGGCUUGAGUGCGCGCAGCGCAGGCGGAACUCGUGGUGUAGCGGUGAAAUGCUUAGAUAUCACGAAGAACUCCGAUCGCGAAGGCAGCCUGCGGGAGCGCAACUGACGCUGAGGCUCGAAAGUGCGGGUAUCGAACAGGAUUAGAUACCCUGGUAGUCCGCACGGUAAACGAUGGAUGCCCGCCCUGCCGCCCUUUGGAGGCGGGGCCAAGCGAAAGCGUUAAGCAUCCCACCUGGGGAGUACGCCGGCAACGGUGAAACUCAAAGGAAUUGACGGGGGCCCGCACAAGCGGAGGAACAUGUGGUUUAAUUCGAUGAUACGCGAGGAACCUUACCCGGGCUUGAAUCGCUGAGGAAGAUCCAGA